UUAAACAGUGGAAUUAGGAAU
Molecule: non-coding RNA, 21 nt
Organism: Caenorhabditis elegans
Lineage: Eukaryota; Metazoa; Nematoda; Chromadorea; Rhabditida; Rhabditidae
Source: Ensembl